AGUGGUGUUGUUUGUGAUUGAGUAAAAUAGUAUAUAUAUAGAACUAGGCUAAUAUACUAUUAAUAGCACCAAGUUAUUGGUGCUACCAACGUUUUGGCCAUUGGAUUAAGAGAUGUGCAGUUAGGAUAAUGUGGGCCCUCUAGGGUUGAGUGGGUGGUUGGUUGAAUAGUAUGAUCUAACGGGUGAAAAUGAUCAAAAGGGUAUAUCUAACGGUGGAAAGCUUGAUAGCACCAAGUGCUUCGUGCUAUUAAUAGCAUAGUAGUUGCACUCAUAUAUAUAUAUAUAUAUAUAUAUAGUUGAGCUAGGAUACUUUUACAUGUAUCACCCCCAUGGUGCUAUUAGGUUUUUAGCCAUUGGAUCUACUUCUUGAUUACUAAUAGUCCUUGGAUCAAAUACUAUUCCACCUACCAUCACCUACCACCACCUACUAAUAGUCCUUGGAUCAAUAGUCCUUGGAUCAAAUACUAUUCCACCUACCAUCACCUACCACCACCUACCAUCAUCAUCUCAACCUCACAUCUCUCUAUCCAAGGGCUAAAAACACUAUAGCACCAUG
This 556-nucleotide long non-coding RNA is filed under the name Ananas comosus (pineapple). Its description in RNAcentral is "long non-coding RNA (ACOM_LNC024675)". The record is from RNAcentral. Lineage: Eukaryota; Viridiplantae; Streptophyta; Magnoliopsida; Poales; Bromeliaceae.